Molecule: ribosomal RNA, 253 nt
Filed under: uncultured bacterium
Lineage: Bacteria
Description: partial 16S ribosomal RNA
Rfam family: Bacterial small subunit ribosomal RNA
Source: RNAcentral
UACGUAGGGGGCUAGCGUUGCUCGGAAUCACUGGGCGUAAAGGGUGCGUAGGCGGAUCUUUAAGUCAGGGGUGAAAUCCUGGAGCUCAACUCCAGAACUGCCUUUGAUACUGAGGAUCUCGAGUUCGGGAGAGGUGAGUGGAACUGCGAGUGUAGAGGUGAAAUUCGUAGAUAUUCGCAAGAACACCAGUGGCGAAGGCGGCUCACUGGCCCGAUACUGACGCUGAGGCACGAAAGCGUGGGGAGCAAACAGG